CGAGAGCAUGAAGCCGGAAUCGCUAGUAAUCGUAGAUCAGCCAUGCUACGGUGAAUACGUUCCCGGGUCUUGUACUCACCGCCCGUCACACCAUGGGAGUUGAUUUCACUCGAAGCCGGAAUACUAAACUAGUUACCGUCCACAGUGGAAUCAGCGACUGGGGUGAAGUCGUAACAAGGUAACCGUAGGAGAACCUGCGGUUGGAUCACCUCCUUUCUAG
RNAcentral lists this ribosomal RNA (220 nucleotides) under Campylobacter jejuni. Its description in RNAcentral is "partial 16S ribosomal RNA". It matches the Rfam family "Bacterial small subunit ribosomal RNA", at positions 1313 to 1533 of the family's 1533-position model. Lineage: Bacteria; Pseudomonadati; Campylobacterota; Epsilonproteobacteria; Campylobacterales; Campylobacteraceae. The record is from RNAcentral.